RNAcentral lists this ribosomal RNA (497 nucleotides) under uncultured bacterium. Its description in RNAcentral is "partial 16S ribosomal RNA". It matches the Rfam family "Bacterial small subunit ribosomal RNA", at positions 28 to 507 of the family's 1533-position model. The record is from RNAcentral.
GAUGAACGCUGGCGGCGUGCCUAAUACAUGCAAGUCGAGCGAACGGACGAGAAGCUUGCUUCUCUGAUGUUAGCGGCGGACGGGUGAGUAACACGUGGAUAACCUACCUAUAAGACUGGGAUAACUUCGGGAAACCGGAGCCAAUACCGGAUAAUAUUUUGAACCGCAUGGUUCAAAAGUGAAAGACGGUCUUGCUGUCACUUAUAGAUGGAUCCGCGCUGCAUUAGCUAGUUGGUAAGGUAACGGCUUACCAAGGCAACGAUGCAUAGCCGACCUGAGAGGGUGAUCGGCCACACUGGAACUGAGACACGGUCCAGACUCCUACGGGAGGCAGCAGUAGGGAAUCUUCCGCAAUGGGCGAAAGCCUGACGGAGCAACGCCGCGUGAGUGAUGAAGGUCUUCGGAUCGUGAAACUCUGUUAUUAGGGAAGAACAUAUGUGUAAGUAACUGUGCACAUCUUGACGGUACCUAAUCAGAAAGCCACGGCUAACUACGUG